CCAGACUCUACGGGAGGCAGCAGUGGGGAAUAUUGCACAAUGGGCGCAAGCCUGAUGCAGCGACGCCGCGUGAGGGAUGACGGCCUUCGGGUUGUAAACUUCUUUCAGUAGGGAAGAAGCCUUCGGGUGACGGUACCUGCAGAAGAAGCGCCGGCUAAUUACGUGCCAGCAGCCGCGGUAAUACGUAGGGCGCGAGCGUUAUCCGGAAUUAUUGGGCGUAAAGAGCUCGUAGGCGGUUUGUCGCGUCUGCCGUGAAAGUCCGGGGCUUAACCCCGGAUCUGCGGUGGGUACGGGCAGACUAGAGUGCAGUAGGGGAGACCGGAAUUCCUGGUGUAGCGGUGAAAUGCGCAGAUAUCAGGAGGAACACCGAUGGCGAAGGCAGGUCUCUGGGCUGUUACUGACGCUGAGGAGCGAAAGCAUGGGGAGCGAACAGGAUUAGAUACCCUGGUAGUCCAUGCCGUAAACGUUGGGCACUAGGUGUGGGGGACAUUCCACGUUUUCCGCGCCGCAGCUAACGCAUUAAGUGCCCCGCCUGGGGAGUACGGCCGCAAGGCUAAAACUCAAAGGAAUUGACGGGGGCCCGCACAAGCGGCGGAGCAUGCGGAUUAAUUCGAUGCAACGCGAAGAACCUUACCAAGGCUUGACAUGUUCUCGAUCGCCACAGAGAUGUGGUUUCCCCUUUGGGGCGGGUU
RNAcentral lists this ribosomal RNA (692 nucleotides) under Micrococcus sp. V4.MO.09. Its description in RNAcentral is "bacterial SSU rRNA". It matches the Rfam family "Bacterial small subunit ribosomal RNA", at positions 331 to 1032 of the family's 1533-position model. The record is from RNAcentral. Lineage: Bacteria; Bacillati; Actinomycetota; Actinomycetes; Micrococcales; Micrococcaceae.